GGGAAUGUGGCUUAGUGGUAGAGUGCUCGCCUAACAUGUGUGAAGCCCUAGGUUCAAUUCCUCAGUACCA
Molecule: transfer RNA, 70 nt
Filed under: Dipodomys ordii (Ord's kangaroo rat)
Lineage: Eukaryota; Metazoa; Chordata; Mammalia; Rodentia; Heteromyidae
Rfam family: tRNA
About the family: Transfer RNA (tRNA) molecules are approximately 80 nucleotides in length. Their secondary structure includes four short double-helical elements and three loops (D, anti-codon, and T loops).
Source: Rfam by way of RNAcentral